AUACCUUUCUCGGCCUUUUGGCUAAGAUCAAGUGUAGUAUCUGUUCUUAUCAGUUUAAUAUCUGAUACGUGGGCCAUAGGCCCACAUGAUAUUAAAUUAAUUUUUUAUAGGGGAGGGUUCACCACGGUGGCUUGCUACUGGAGCCCUCAAGUGUCGCCCAGGCGUUGCACUAUUGCCAGGGCCUGGCACACCCUAC
Small nuclear RNA from Tripterygium wilfordii, 196 nucleotides. RefSeq annotates it as U2 spliceosomal RNA. The transcript has a single exon. Lineage: Eukaryota; Viridiplantae; Streptophyta; Magnoliopsida; Celastrales; Celastraceae. The record is from RefSeq and is a predicted model, not a curated record.